AAAACAAUUACGUUCUAUUGAAAUAAUUGUCCUAUAUAUUUAUAUUUAAUUAAUUAUUAUCUGGGAAAAUAUACGAACGUACCCGCCUAUUUUUUUUCCCAACAUUCGGAAUAAGAGAAUUACAAUAUAAUCACAGUUUUAUAAUUGAAUCUGCUGCUAACAAUUACGUUAGGCCGACUUUAAUGUAUGUAUACAGAAGUGACUAUUUGUACCGACGUUUCAGUGUUUU
Molecule: non-coding RNA, 229 nt
Organism: Cinara cedri
Lineage: Eukaryota; Metazoa; Arthropoda; Insecta; Hemiptera; Aphididae
Source: the annotation of a GenBank genome assembly